RNAcentral lists this ribosomal RNA (434 nucleotides) under uncultured archaeon. Its description in RNAcentral is "bacterial SSU rRNA". It matches the Rfam family "Archaeal small subunit ribosomal RNA", at positions 281 to 715 of the family's 1478-position model. The record is from RNAcentral.
AGCAAGAGCCCGGAGAUGGAUUCUGAGACAUGAAUCCAGGCCCUACGGGGCGCAGCAGGCGCGAAAACUUUACAAUGCGGGAAACCGUGAUAAGGGGACACCGAGUGCCAGCGUCAUACGCUGGCUGUCCAGGUGUGUAAAAUACACCUGUUAGCAAGGGCCGGGCAAGACCGGUGCCAGCCGCCGCGGUAACACCGGCGGCCCGAGUGGUGAUCGUGAUUAUUGGGUCUAAAGGGUCCGUAGCCGGUUUGGUCAGUCCUCCGGGAAAUCUGAUAGCUCAACUAUUAGGCUUUCGGGGGAUACUGCCAGGCUUGGAACCGGGAGAGGUAAGAGGUACUACAGGGGUAGGAGUGAAAUCUUGUAAUCCCUGUGGGACCACCUGUGGCGAAGGCGUCUUACCAGAACGGGUUCGACGGUGAGGGACGAAAGCUGGG